GCCAGACUCCUACGGGAGGCAGCAGUGAGGAAUAUUGGUCAAUGGGCGGGAGCCUGAACCAGCCAAGUCGCGUGAGGGACGACGGUCCUAUGGAUUGUAAACCUCUUUUGUCGGGGAACAAAGGCGCCCACGGGUGGGCGGAUGAGUGUACCCGAAGAAAAAGCAUCGGCUAACUCCGUGCCAGCAGCCGCGGUAAUACGGAGGAUGCGAGCGUUAUCCGGAUUUAUUGGGUUUAAAGGGUGCGUAGGUGGUUAAUUAAGUCAGCGGUGAAAGUUUGUGGCUCAACCAUAAAAUUGCCGUUGAAACUGGUUGACUUGAGUAUAUUUGAGGUAGGCGGAAUGCGUGGUGUAGCGGUGAAAUGCAUAGAUAUCACGCAGAACUCCGAUUGCGAAGGCAGCUUACUAAACUAUAACUGACACUGAAGCACGAAAGCGUGGGGAUCAAACAGGAUUAGAUACCCCCGUAA
Molecule: ribosomal RNA, 466 nt
Filed under: uncultured bacterium
Lineage: Bacteria
Description: bacterial SSU rRNA
Rfam family: Bacterial small subunit ribosomal RNA
Source: RNAcentral